UUCAUGGAAAGCAACAUAAGUUGAAUAGCUUAUUUUUACCGACUGUUCCUAGAGCAAGAGGCAAAGGACUUAAUGGUUGGUACUCGAGAUCCAAAUUCGAAUCAUAGUUGAUUCACAUUUUUAACUAAGUUUAUUUCUAAAUGAAAUAAACGAAGUGGAUAGCGUGCUAAUUAUCUCUCAAAAAAAAAAGAAUAGCUUACUUUU
Molecule: long non-coding RNA, 204 nt
Filed under: Ananas comosus (pineapple)
Lineage: Eukaryota; Viridiplantae; Streptophyta; Magnoliopsida; Poales; Bromeliaceae
Description: long non-coding RNA (ACOM_LNC007982)
Source: RNAcentral